RNAcentral lists this ribosomal RNA (386 nucleotides) under uncultured Chroococcidiopsis sp. RNAcentral's name for it is "bacterial SSU rRNA". It matches the Rfam family "Bacterial small subunit ribosomal RNA", at positions 390 to 795 of the family's 1533-position model. The record is from RNAcentral. Lineage: Bacteria; Bacillati; Cyanobacteriota; Cyanophyceae; Chroococcidiopsidales; Chroococcidiopsidaceae.
CGCGAUGCAGUGGAGGAUGGCUCUCUGGGUCGUAAACCUCUUUUCUCAAGGAAGAAUAAAUGACGGUACCUGAGGAAUCAGCAUCGGCUAACUCCGUGCCAGCAGCCGCGGUAAUACGGAGGAUGCAAGCGUUAUCCGGAAUGAUUGGGCGUAAAGCGUCCGCAGGUGGCACAUCAAGUCUGCUGUCAAAGCCCCCAGCUUAACUGGGAAGAGGCGGUGGAAACUGGUGAGCUAGAGAGCAAUAGGGGUAGAGGGAAUUCCCGGUGUAGCGGUGAAAUGCGUAGAGAUCGGGAAGAACACCAGUGGCGAAAGCGCUCUACUAGGUUGCAACUGACACUGAGGGACGAAAGCUAGGGGAGCGAAUGGGAUUAGAUACCCCUGUAGUC